GAUGAACGCUGGCGGCGUGCCUAAUACAUGCAAGUCGAGCGAACAGACGAGGAGCUUGCUCCUCUGACGUUAGCGGCGGACGGGUGAGUAACACGUGGAUAACCUACCUAUAAGACUGGGAUAACUUCGGGAAACCGGAGCUAAUACCGGAUAACAUGUUGAACCGCAUGGUUCAACAGUGAAAGACGGUCUUGCUGUCACUUAUAGAUGGAUCCGCGCCGCAUUAGCUAGUUGGUAAGGUAACGGCUUACCAAGGCAACGAUGCGUAGCCGACCUGAGAGGGUGAUCGGCCACACUGGAACUGAGACACGGUCCAGACUCCUACGGGAGGCAGCAGUAGGGAAUCUUCCGCAAAGGGCGAAAGCCUGACGGAGCAACGCCGCGUGAGUGAAGAAGGUCUUCGGAUCGUAAAACUCUUUUAUUAGGGAAGAACAAAUGUGUAAGUAACUAUGCACGUCUUGACGGUACCUAAUCAGAAAGCCACGGCUAACUACGUG
Molecule: ribosomal RNA, 497 nt
Filed under: uncultured bacterium
Lineage: Bacteria
Description: partial 16S ribosomal RNA
Rfam family: Bacterial small subunit ribosomal RNA
Source: RNAcentral